Long non-coding RNA from Calypte anna (Anna's hummingbird), 2229 nucleotides. RefSeq lists it as uncharacterized. The record is from RefSeq and is a predicted model, not a curated record. NCBI's taxonomy places the organism in Eukaryota, Metazoa, Chordata, Aves, Apodiformes, Trochilidae. The transcript has 3 exons.
UCGCUUCGUCCCGUCCCUGGAGGAGGUGCCAGCGCUGUGGGCAGGGCAGUCCUGGAGCAGCGGUGGUGUCAGACUCCUCCUGCUCCGCACGGAUGUCACCCGGGGAGGUUUGCUUCAUCGGACGGGUUCCCAGGGCCGAGCGGCUUCGUUUUAAUCCCCGGCCAGGAAAAUGCAUCGCCGCUUGGUAGUGGAGUCGGGCCGGGCUGGGGCAGACCCCCUGGGUCUCGGCUGAGGCCUUCCCGCCCCUUUCCCCGACCCACUGCAGGCACGGCUGCUGCCAGCAGGGGCGGUAACGCUGCCUCCGCCUCCUCCUCCUCCUUCUGGUUGUCUUUUCUGAGAAAAUCUCCUCCCAAAGCCCACGUGAAGCGCAAGAGGGACUGCGUGUCCCCCCACCAGUGUGAAGUCGGGCAGGUGAAUGAGUGGCCGCCCAAAAUGAAGUGUGGGAUUGCUUCAGUCCAGGUAUGCCAGCUCACACUGUGCAUAUUUAUGAGAAACAAAGGCAGGUGAGAGCUGCUAUGAAACAGAAGCUCUUGGAAAAGUCUCACUCAGAAUUUUCCUAAUGGAAUUUGCGUUUGCAAUGCAUACCCAACAAACAGCAGUGGAAACUCAGCCCUACAAUUCUUCUGUUACUCACAGGCUGGCUCAUUGUGCUUUGUAGUUCUGUACAACAAGCACAUGCCCUGAAUACAUUUCUGAAGAUCAGCCUGUGAGUAGUUGAAUUUGGUUGGCCUCUGCUGUAACUAAAUCAUCUGGAUUUUGUAUUUUACUGAUUAAUAACUGCAGAUCUUUUGACAAUGUUUUAUUGGCAUGCCAACCCCAGUAGCUGCAUUACAGAAUUAUACUAUGUUAAAUGCUUUUGAUAAUCAUGUUCCUCAUAGUUAUUCUUUCCCCAUAAGAGCUGUGUGCCAAGGAACCUUACAAAAUCGAUUGGCAGUGGACUAGCUCCUUCUCCAGCACCAUAAAUGCUGCUCCAGUUUUGAAGGCGUGUGUUGCUCCAACACAACAGAUGAAUCAGCCAGCAGAGAGGACAACAUUCAACACCUCCAGGAUUUAAUGCAUUAAAUGAAACAAUCUGCUGGUGGUGCCUGGCUGGCUGAGUGGUUUAAUUCCCUGACAGGAUGGAUGUGACACCUGUUUCAAAGCAUUAUUGUAGGGAUAAGUUUAUUCCUUUUUCUAUACAUGUUUAUAGACAUGCCCCCAAAUUACCCUGCUCUACAUCCCACAAAUCCAAGUGGACACUUCUAGCUUUGCCAGCCCCAGCAGAAGUGGUUUCUUGAGCAAGGGGGUGGAAUGUGAGUUACUAAUGGAAGAUUGUUGAGGAAAAUUAUAAACAUGCUCAAGUUACUUGCAGCUGGGGUGUAGAAAAAUAUGUAUACUAUACAAACUGUUUAUCCAUGUGCACUUGACAAGUAGAACAUGUGUGUUCAGAUAACAUAGGCCUGUGAUGGACUCAGAGGGACCCUGUCAAACAUGCUUGAGAUUCUUGCCCUGCUAUGGAGAAGAUCAAAGCACAGGCAUAGACCUUGUCUGUUGAUUCCCUGAAAUUUCCAGGCAAAACCAGAAGGGUCUGUGGUCCUCUCUGAGCUCCACAGUGUGUGCAUUCCCACCUUAGUGUCCCUUUACCUGGUGCUGCUUUGGGCAUCCCGUCUGAGGUAACAAAAAGAAAUAACUUUACUCUUCACGUCUGAUCCACGUUUUUGCAGUGGUUCCCAUGUUCUGCCUGUGCUGUUGCACCCAGGCAUUGUCCUGUCCCAGCUGGCACUUCACACAGCCCCUGCUCACUGGGAUCACACCAGCUCACUGGGGACACACCAGCUCACUGGGGACACACCCGCUCACUGGGAUCACACCAGCUCACUGGGGACACACCAGUUCACUGGGGACACACCGAUUCACACCAGCCCAGUGUUCCAUCUACUCCAGCCCAGUGUUCCAUCUCUGUCCCAGUCACAGUGCAGUGCUCCUGCACGGACCCCAGCGGGGCAGUGACAUCUCCAGAUGUCAGAGGUUGUAUUUCACUUCAGGAACAGGACCAAGUGUUUGGAGUCACCAGGGAAUUAACUGAGUGCCUGUAGGAACCCAGCAAGUAGCCCUUUGAUGCCAGCAGCUCUUCAUCCUUUGGAAGGUGUCUGUGUUUCUGGAGGCACCACUGCCUUGCAGGGCAGAGGGGGGAGCAUAUUCAAGCUUGAUUCUUGUUACAAAUGACCAAGACUCAAUAUUCUGUUAAUA